UGCACUCACUACUGUAAGACUCUCUGGAUAAGAGCGUCUGCCAAAUUACUAAAA
This is a non-coding RNA of Salmo salar (Atlantic salmon), 54 nucleotides long. Lineage: Eukaryota; Metazoa; Chordata; Actinopteri; Salmoniformes; Salmonidae. The record is from Rfam.